Molecule: ribosomal RNA, 407 nt
Filed under: Salmonella enterica
Lineage: Bacteria; Pseudomonadati; Pseudomonadota; Gammaproteobacteria; Enterobacterales; Enterobacteriaceae
Description: partial 23S ribosomal RNA
Rfam family: Bacterial large subunit ribosomal RNA
Source: RNAcentral
AGGGAAACCGAGUCUUAACUGGGCGUUAAGUUGCAGGGUAUAGACCCGAAACCCGGUGAUCUAGCCAUGGGCAGGUUGAAGGUUGGGUAACACUAACUGGAGGACCGAACCGACUAAUGUUGAAAAAUUAGCGGAUGACUUGUGGCUGGGGGUGAAAGGCCAAUCAAACCGGGAGAUAGCUGGUUCUCCCCGAAAGCUAUUUAGGUAGCGCCUCGUGAACUCAUCUUCGGGGGUAGAGCACUGUUUCGGCUAGGGGGUCAUCCCGACUUACCAACCCGAUGCAAACUGCGAAUACCGAAGAAUGUUAUCACGGGAGACACACGGCGGGUGCUAACGUCCGUCGUGAAGAGGGAAACAACCCAGACCGCCAGCUAAGGUCCCAAAGUCACAGUUAAGUGGGAAACGAU